ACGGGUGAGUAACGCGUAGGAAUCUGCCUUUAAGAGGGGGACAACCCGAGGAAACUCGGGCUAAUACCGCAUAAUCUCUGAGGAGAAAAGCUGGGGCAACCUGGCGCUUAAAGAGGAGCCUGCGUCCGAUUAGCUGGUUGGUGGGGUAAAGGCCUACCAAGGCGAUGAUCGGUAACUGGUCUGAGAGGAUGACCAGUCACACUGGGACUGAGACACGGCCCAGACUCCUACGGGAGGCAGCAGUGGGGAAUAUUGGACAAUGGGGGCAACCCUGAUCCAGCAAUACCGCGUGUGUGAAGAAGGCCUUCGGGUUGUAAAGCACUUUAGGUUGGGAAGAAGCUGAGUAUUUUAAGAGAUAAUUCAGUUGACGGUACCAACAGAAUAAGCACCGGCUAACUCUGUGCCAGCAGCCGCGGUAAUACAGAGGGUGCGAGCGUUAAUCGGAAUUACUGGGCGUAAAGGGCGCGUAGGCGGUUAUUUAAGUUAGAUGUGAAAUCCCUGGGCUUAACCUAGGAACUGCAUUUAAUACUGGGUAACUGGAGUGCGGUAGAGGAUAGUGGAAUUUCCGGUGUAGCGG
Molecule: ribosomal RNA, 577 nt
Filed under: uncultured bacterium
Lineage: Bacteria
Description: bacterial SSU rRNA
Rfam family: Bacterial small subunit ribosomal RNA
Source: RNAcentral